RNAcentral lists this ribosomal RNA (486 nucleotides) under uncultured bacterium. RNAcentral's name for it is "partial 16S ribosomal RNA". It matches the Rfam family "Bacterial small subunit ribosomal RNA", at positions 899 to 1397 of the family's 1533-position model. The record is from RNAcentral.
ACUCAAAGGAAUAGACGGGGGCCCGCACAAGCAGCGGAGCGUGUGGUUUAAUUCGAGGCUACACGAAGAACCUUACCUGGGUUUGACAUGACGCUAGUAGGGACGUGAAAGCGUGCCGACCGCAAGGAGGCGUCACUGGUGCUGCAUGGCUGUCGUCAGCUCGUGCCGUGAGGUGUUAGGUUAAGUCCUGUAACGAGCGCAACCCCCAGGUCCAGUUACACGUUGUCUGGACCGACUGCCCGUGACAAGCGGGAGGAAGGUGGGGAUGACGUCAAGUCAGCAUGGCCUGUAUAUCCAGGGCUACACACACGCUACAAUGGCCGGUACAAUGGGUCGCCAAGCCGCAAGGCGGAGCCAAUCCAGUCAAAGCCGGUCACAGUUCGGAUUGAGGGCUGCAACCCGCCCUCAUGAAGUCGGAGUUGCUAGUAACCGCCGGUCAGCCAUACGGCGGUGAAUACGUUCCCGGGCCUUGCACACACCGCCCGU